RNAcentral lists this ribosomal RNA (268 nucleotides) under Cylindrotheca closterium. Its description in RNAcentral is "partial Eukaryotic large subunit ribosomal RNA". It matches the Rfam family "Eukaryotic large subunit ribosomal RNA", at positions 1230 to 1496 of the family's 3401-position model. The record is from RNAcentral. Lineage: Eukaryota; Bacillariophyta; Bacillariophyceae; Bacillariales; Bacillariaceae.
CAUAUUGACAGCAGGACGGUGGCCAUGGAAGCCGGAAUCCGCUAAGGAGUGUGUAACAACUCACGGGCCGAAUGAACUAGCCCUGAAAAUGGAUGGCGCUUAAGCGUGUUACCCAUACCUCGCCGUCAGGGUAGAAACGAUGCCCUGACGAGUAGGCAGGCGUGGGGGUCCGUGACGAAGCCUUGGGAGUGAUCCCGGGUCGAACGGCCCCUAGUGCAGAUCUUGGUGGUAGUAGCAAAUACUCAAAUGAGAAUUUUGAGGACUGAAG